CCCAAAAAGAUCAGCUCUCCAUCAUGGCCUGGUCUCUGCUGUUGGCUUUCUUCUUCUUAUGGUGCACAGGAGCCAACUCACAGUAUACCUUGAGUCAGCCUAUGGCACAAUCGUUUCCAUCGGGACAACCGGCGAAGAUCCCAUGUACCAUGAGCCGAGACAGCCAAGUGAGCACCUAUGGCAUAUAUUCGUACCAACAGAAGGCUGGAGAGAGCUCCAGAUAUCUUCUCAUUAAUACUGACAGUAACGGCUGGUUCACGGGGUCCAAGGAUUCCUCUGCCAAUGCAGCCUGUUUAACCAUUACAAACCUCCAGGCUGAGGAUGAAGCUGAUUAUUAA
Molecule: non-coding RNA, 338 nt
Organism: Notechis scutatus (mainland tiger snake)
Lineage: Eukaryota; Metazoa; Chordata; Lepidosauria; Squamata; Elapidae
Source: the annotation of a RefSeq genome assembly